ACUUAGUGGCAGACGGGUGAGUAACAUGUGGGUAUCUACCCUUUGGCCUGGAAUAACACGAGGAAACUUGUGCUAAUACCGGAUAAGUCUUUACGGAGAAAGCUUUAUGCACCAUUGGAGGAGCCCGCACUUGAUUAGUUUGUUGGUAGGGUAAUGGCCUACCAAGACUAUGAUCAAUAGCUGAUUUGAGAGGAUGAUCAGCCACAUUGGGACUGAGACACGGCCCAAACUCCUACGGGAGGCAGCAGUGGGGAAUCUUGCACAAUGGAGGAAACUCUGAUGCAGCGAUGCCGCGUGAGUGAAGAAGGCCUUUGGGUUGUAAAGCUCUUUCGUCGGGGAAGAAAAUGACUGUACCCGAAUAAGAAGGUCCGGCUAACUUCGUGCCAGCAGCCGCGGUAAUACGAAGGGACCUAGCGUAGUUCGGAAUUACUGGGCUUAAAGAGUUCGUAGGUGGUUGAAAAAGUUGGUGGUGAAAUCCCAG
Molecule: ribosomal RNA, 481 nt
Filed under: uncultured Pelagibacterales bacterium
Lineage: Bacteria; Pseudomonadati; Pseudomonadota; Alphaproteobacteria; Candidatus Pelagibacterales
Description: bacterial SSU rRNA
Rfam family: Bacterial small subunit ribosomal RNA
Source: RNAcentral